AAAAAUUGACAUGACUAGGUAAAAUUGUAAAGUUAUGCAUUAAGGGCAUUUUAGUAAUUUGUCAAAUAAAGAAAAAAUUAACUAAAUAAAAGUGUCCAUCUUCUCAAAUUAUCAAAUUAGUCCCCCCCAUAGCCGAAUUUGAAGAAUAAGACAUAGCUAAGGUUUUAUCCAAGCUUUCAAGCUCGAUUGUAAGUCCGUUCUUGUCCCGUUUUUAACGAUUUAUACAAUUUUGAGAUCGUUGUAACUUGAUUUAGCUAUUUUAAGAACUAAUUUGAAAGAAAAUCGAAGUCCAAAAUUUUACCCAUGUUGGAUGUACAUGUAUUUUGAUGUUUACU
This 335-nucleotide long non-coding RNA is filed under the name Gossypium barbadense (sea-island cotton). RNAcentral describes it as "long non-coding RNA (GBAR_LNC011524)". The record is from RNAcentral. Lineage: Eukaryota; Viridiplantae; Streptophyta; Magnoliopsida; Malvales; Malvaceae.